Molecule: small RNA, 28 nt
Filed under: Bombyx mori (domestic silkworm)
Lineage: Eukaryota; Metazoa; Arthropoda; Insecta; Lepidoptera; Bombycidae
Description: ovarian small RNA-38332
Source: RNAcentral
UUUCGGUGUGGUUUACUGUGGCGGCUUC